This 463-nucleotide ribosomal RNA is filed under the name uncultured bacterium. RNAcentral's name for it is "bacterial SSU rRNA". It matches the Rfam family "Bacterial small subunit ribosomal RNA", at positions 1 to 446 of the family's 1533-position model. The record is from RNAcentral.
CCCUUAGAGUUUGAUCCUGGCUCAGAAUGAACGUUGGCGGCGUGGAUUAGGCAUGCAAGUCGAGCGAGAACUCGGCUGUGGAGGCUUCGGCCAAAGCAGCCGGGGGAAAGCGGCAAACGGGGUAGUUAUACGUAGGCAACGUACCCAGAGGUCUGGGAUAGCCACGGGAAACCGUGGGUAAUACCGGAUGACCUCGCGGAGCGUGAUGGCUUUGCGAGCAAAGGUGUGAUUCCGCCUUUGGAGCGGCUUACGCGGUAUUAGCUAGUUGGUGAGGUAAUGGCUCACCAAGGCUGUGAUGCCUAGGGGGUGUUAGCGCAUGACCCCCACCACUGGGACUGAGAUACUGCCCAGACACCUACGGGUGGCUGCAGUCGAGAAUCUUCGGCAAUGGGCGCAAGCCUGACCGAGCGACGCCGCGUGCGGGAUGAAGGCCCUUGGGUUGUAAACCGCUGUCAGAGGGGAU